This 667-nucleotide ribosomal RNA is filed under the name Eukiefferiella gracei. Its description in RNAcentral is "eukaryotic LSU rRNA". It matches the Rfam family "Eukaryotic large subunit ribosomal RNA", at positions 652 to 1253 of the family's 3401-position model. The record is from RNAcentral. Lineage: Eukaryota; Metazoa; Arthropoda; Insecta; Diptera; Chironomidae.
UCCCGAAACACGAACCAAGGAGUCUAUCUAGUAUGCAAGUAAAUGAGCAUAUGAAACUUAUUUGCAGAAGAAACUUGACUGUUUAUGGGACUACGAGUAGCAUUAACGUGCUGCUCCUCAAUCCCGGGGUAUUUUUAUCAACAUAUACAGCAAUGUAUAUGGAAAAUAUACCAUGAGCAUACUGGAUAUGACCCGAAAGAUGGUGAACUAUGCCUGAUCAGGUUGAAGUCAGGGGAAACCCUGAUGGAGGACCGAAGCAAUUCUGACGUGCAAAUCGAUUGUCAGAAUUGGGCAUAGGGGCGAAAGACCAAUCGAACCAUCUAGUAGCUGGUUCCUUCCGAAGUUUCCCUCAGGAUAGCUGGAGCAUGUAAAGAUCUUUUUCUAACUCAUACCUGGUAAAGCGAAUGAUUAGAGGCCUUAGGAACGAAAUGUUUUUAACCUAUUCUCAAACUUUAAAUGGGUAUGUAAGCUAACAUACUUGAUUGAUGUUGGCCUGGUGGUGUCGUCGCAAGACGCAUCUGUAAGAUUGUAUGCGCCCAGUGGGCCAAGUUUUGGUAAGCAGAACUGGUGCUGCGGGAUGAACCGAACGCAUUGUUAAGGCGCCCAAAUAAACGACGCAUCAUCGAUACCAUGAAAGGUGUUGAUGCUAAGACAGCAGAUCGUACUG